GGAGAAGGUAAAUGAAACACUCAAGAGGCACUUAAGGAAACUAACACAAGAAACUCAUCUCCCAUGGCCUACUCUCUUGCCCAUGGCCUUGUUGAGAAUCUGAAAUUCUCCUCACAAAAUGGGGCUCAGUUCCUAUGAAAUGCUGUAUGGAUAACCUUUUCUCACAAAUGACCUCCUACUUUAUCAGGAAAUGGCCAACUUGAUGAAGGAUAUAACUUAUUUGGCAAAAUAUCAAUGAAACCUUAAAAACAUACAUGAAGGAUGUUACAGAGAAAAGGGAACAGAGCUGUUUUAACUGGGAAAUCUAGUGUUUGUCAAAUUCCUCCCCUCUAACUCCCCAUCUAUGAUUUUUUGUGGAGAGAACAAUACUCAGUAAUCCUCUCUACCCCCACUGCAGUUAAGGUGGCAGGAGUGAAGUCUUGGAUUCACCACACCCCACUUAAACUUUGGACACCUGCUAAGGAACCUGCUGGACAAACAGCUCAGGAAUCCAAGGAUCAGCAAGAGUAGGCUAGAUACACCUGUGAGCCAUUGGAGGACUUACAUCUUCUUUUCUGGAAGGAAACAUCCCAGACUAAGAAGACUCUUACAGCUGAUCCUGAGGAAAAAUCCCUUCCUACUUAAAAAGAUGAAGGCCAUCAAGCUACAGAUGCUCUUACAAAUGGAACCUCAAAUGAACUCAACUAACAACUUCUAUUGAGGACCCCUGGACAGAGCCACUGGCCCUUUGACUGGCCUAAAGAGUUCCCCUCUGAAGGACACUAAAACUCCAGGACCCCUUCUUCACCCCUAUCCAACAGGAAGUAGAUAGAGCCAUCAUCACCCAAUUCCCAACAGCAUUUGGUGUGUCCUGUUUAGAGGGGGUAUUGAGAGGUGAAGUCAGCUGGACUUCUGGGUUGGGUGGUGACUUGGAGAAAUUUUCUGUCUUACAAGAGGUUUGCAAAAUGCACUAAUUAUCACCCUGUAGCUAGGAAUGCAAAAUCCACCAAUCAGUGCUCUGUAGCUAGCUAGAGAUUUGUAAAAUGCACCAAUCAGUGCUCUGUAGCUAGCUAGAGGUUUAUAAAAUAGACCAAUGAGCAGCCUGUUAAAUGGACCAAUCAGCAGGACAUGGUUGGGGACAAAUAAGGGAAUAAAGGCUGGCUACCCCACUCAGCAGCGGCAACCCACUCAGGCCCCCUUCCUUGCUAUGGAAACUUUGUUCUUUUGCUCUUCAGAAUAAAACUUGCUGCUGCUCACCCUUUGGUUCUAUGUUAUCUUUAAGAGCUGUUACACUCACCAUGAAGUUCUGCUACUCCAUUCUUGAAGUCAACAAGACCACAAACCCACCAGAAGGAAUGAACUCCAGACACAAAGAGGAGGAGAAAAGGAAUAAAAAAUUAGAAAGAGAAGGAGAAGGAGGAGAAAGAAAAGAAAAAAACCCAAGCAGAAGGAGGAGGAAGAGAAGGAGAAAAAGAAUGAAAACAUGGAGGUAGGGGGAAUAAGAGGAGGAGGGAAGAAGGAGGAGCUAAAGAAGAAAGGAAGAGAAGCAAGGAAUGAUAGUCACAUACUGAGAACCCUUUUGCAUUAUCUACACAGAUUUCAUGUUCGGUUACUUGAUGAAUUCAAGGCUCUAAGGUAGCAAAAAUAUAAGUCAACAAUAUAAAGUGUACUCCUGGACUCAUCUGAGUUUCACAGGCUGUUGUAGGUUAGAGUCUUCUCUGCAGGGCAUGAGGUUUUAUAUAUUUCCUCUUUUUUUUUUUUUUUUUUUUUUUUUUAAAGAGAAGGAGGAAGAGUAGGAGGAAGAAAAGUAGGGAGGUCUUGCUGGCUGAGAGUUGUCUGACAUGAUCCGGAAGUCACUGCUUCACCAUGGGGAGAUUGUUCUGGGUCAUUGUUUACCUGAUGCAAUCUUUGAUGGCUGUCUAUGGAGGUACCUUCAAGUUCUGGUAAAAUGACCCAACGGUCAGGUCAGGAGGACUCUGGACUGAGACUUGUA
This 1972-nucleotide long non-coding RNA is filed under the name Homo sapiens (human). RNAcentral describes it as "HSALNT0288567". The record is from RNAcentral. Lineage: Eukaryota; Metazoa; Chordata; Mammalia; Primates; Hominidae.